RNAcentral lists this ribosomal RNA (3387 nucleotides) under Candidatus Nanosynbacter sp. HMT-352. RNAcentral's name for it is "Nanosynbacter sp. HMT-352 23S ribosomal RNA". It matches the Rfam family "Bacterial large subunit ribosomal RNA". Lineage: Bacteria; Bacillati; Minisyncoccota; Nanosynbacteria; Nanosynbacterales; Nanosynbacteraceae. The record is from RNAcentral.
UAAAAAGGUACUCAAGGGCGCUAAAUGGAUGCCUAGACGUAUAUUACCGAUGAAGGACGUGGAAGACUGCGAUAAGCUUCGGGAAGCUGUCAACAAGCUUUGAUCCGGAGAUCUCCGAAUGGGGAAACCCAGCAUGAGUCAUGUCAUGUUGCCACUUGCUGAACACAUAGGCAAGCGAGCGGGAACCAUCUGAACUGAAACAUCUUAGUAGGAUGAGGAAGAGAAAGUAAAUAACGAUUGCGAAAGUAGUGGCGAGCGAAAUCGCAACAGCCCAAACCUUUUAAGUUUUUGCCUAUUAAUUUAGGCAAAUAAGUUGAUAGACGAAUACUUAUAAGGGGUUGUGAUAUUACAUAUGACCAAGUCAGAGAAUUUGAUUCAUUCAAAUAAUCUGAUUUGCGAUAACUGGCUAUCAACAGUUAGUAAGGUAAGAAAUCGGCGUGGUUAGUAGAAUAGUUUGAAUGACUAGCCAAAGAACGUGAAAGCCGUGUAUAUGAAAACGACGCUGACCUUAUGUAUGUUUUAUCGAGUAGGACGGGGCACGAGAAACCCUGUUUGAAUCUGGCUGGACCACCAGCCAAGGCUAAAUAUAAUAUACGAUCGAUAGUGAACUAGUACAGUGAUGGAAAGGUGAAAAGAACCCCGGGAGGGGAGUGAAAUAGAUCCUGAAAUUUAGUGCCUACAAGGAGUCGGAGCCGGCUUGUCCGGUGACGGCGUGCUUUUUGUAGAACGAUCCAGCGAGUUAAUUUUUACAGCGAGGUUAAGUCAAUUGACGGAGCCACAGUGAAAGCGAGCCUGAAUAGGGCGAUCAAGUUGUAAGGAUUAGACCCGAAACCGGGUGACCUAACCAUGAGCAGGUUGAAGCCACUGUAACAGGUGGUGGAGGACCGAACCAGGAUACGCAGCAAAGUGUUUGGAUGACUUGUGGUUAGCGGUGAAAUGCCAAUCGAACUCGGAGAUAGCUGGUUCUCCUCGAAAUAGCUUUAGGGCUAGCGUCGUGUUAGUAGCACAUGGGGGUAGAGCUCUGUAAAGGACUGGGGCGGGCAACUGUACCCACCCUUAACAAACUACGAAUACCAUGUGUGUAAUCACGGCAGUUAGAACAUCGGUGCUAAGAUCGGUGCUCAAAAGGGAAACAGCCCAGACCAUCAUCUAAGGUCCCUAAAUUAACGUUCAGUGGGAAACAAGGUGAGAUUUCUUAAACAGCUAGGAUGUUGGCUUAGAAGCAGCCAUUCAUUUAAAGAGUGCGUAACAGCUCACUAGUCAAGAGAUCUUGCGUGGAAAAUGUAACGGGGCUAAAACGUUAUACCGAAGAUAUGGAUUACACGCUAAGUACAAAGUUAAAGUUGUGUUACAAUCAAUUUAUGGAAAAUGAGAUUUACAUAGGUAGCGUCUACGAACACUAUAAAGGCAAUAAGUAUGUUGUUGUAAGUAUAGCUGUUCAUACUGAGACGCUUGAAGAGCUUGUAGUUUAUCGAGCCAUUUAUGGCGACGGAGAAUUAUGGGCUAGACCUAAGAAAAUGUUUUUAGAUAAUAUUGAAAAGAACGGAAAGAUCAUUCCAAGGUUUAAAUUGAUUAAAAAACUUUGAUUUUGUUCUUAGUGUGUAGUGGUAGAGGAGCGUUCCUAUCAGCGGUGAAGUCGAAUCGGAAGGUUCGGUGGAGCGGUAGGAAGUGAGAAUGCUGGAAUGAGUAACCAUAAGAGAGGUGAGAAUCCUCUCGGCCGUAAGAGCAAGGUUUCCUGAGCCAUGGUAAUCAUCUCAGGGUUAGUCGGGCCUAAGCCGAGGCGCAGAGCGUAGGCGAUGGACAUCAGGUUAAUAUUCCUGAACCGGUUAAGUUUUGUACACUGUUCACGGGGAAGUAAUCGAAGCGGAUUCAUGGUUUAUCCGUCCAACCGAGCGGGAACGCAAAGGGAGUGAAAGUGAUUCUUCGGAGUCGCGAUUUUGGUGAAAGCCCUGGCUAGAAAAGCAGGUGUACGCGUGGACUUAGCCGCCCGUACCGCAAACCAACACAGGUGCUCGAGUCGAGUAGACUCAGGCUUACGAGCGAACCUUCGCUAAGGAACUCGGCAAUACAGCGACCGUAACUUCGGGAUAAGGUCUGCCCCCACUUCGGUGGAUAUCAGCCGCGUUCACUCAGUGAAUAUUAGGUUAAAGAGUACAUUUUUAAUCACAAAACGAAUUUUCUGAGAUAGAGCAAACGAAUUGUUCUUUUGAACGCGAACCUCUGACGUCUAACGAUGUGGGGGCCGCAGCAAAAGAGCCCACGGAACUGUUUAUCAAAAACACAGGUCUCUGCUAACACGAAAGUGGAUGUAUAGGGGCUGACUCCUGCCCAAUGCUGGAAGGUUAAGGGGAGCGCUUCACGGUGCGAACUGAAGCCCUAGUCAAUGGCGGCGGUAACUAUAACCGUCCUAAGGUAGCGAAAUUCCUUGUCAGGUAAGUUCUGACCCGCACGAAUGGAGUAAUCAUGUGGGCACUGUCUCAGCGAAGGACUCGGUGAAAGUGCAUUGGCGGUAAAGAUGCCGUCUGUCCGUACCAGGACGAAAAGACCCCAUGGAGCUUUACUACAGCUUUACAUUGAAUAUGGUUUCAACAUGUGUAGCAUAGGUGGGAGACUUUGAAGCAGAUACGCCAGUAUUUGUGGAGUCACCAAGUGAAAUACCACCCUUGUUGUGAUUGUGUUCUCACGCUGACCGUUAUCCGGUUAGCGGACCGUGUAUGGUGGGUAGUUUAACUGGGGCGGUUGCCUCCUAAAGAGUAGCGGAGGCGUUCAAAGGUUGGCUAACUUCGGAUGGAAAUCGAAGUGAUAGUGUAUGCGCAUAAGCCAGCUUGACUGUGAGGAGUACAUUCCAAUCAGAGACGAAAGUCGGAGCAAGUGAUCCGCUGUACGUACAUUUGUACAUGAAUGUGGGAUCGACAGCGCAAACGGAUAAAAGUUACCCUGGGGAUAACAGGCUUAUAGCGCCCAAUAGUUCACAUAGACGGCGCUGUUUGGCACCUCGAUGUCGGCUCAUCACAUCCUGGAGGGGGAGCACCUUCCAAGGGUUCGGCUGUUCGCCGAUUAAAGUGGUACGCGAGCUGGGUUCAGAACGUCGUGAGACAGUUCGGUUUAUAUCCGGUAUGGACGAUAGGAAACUUGAGAGGAUCUACCCCUAGUACGAGAGGACCGGGGCGGACGCACCUCUGGUGUAUCGAUUGUGGCCACCUGCUGCAUUGUCGAGUAGCUAUGUGCGGACUAGAUAAGCGCUGAAAGCAUAUUAAGCGCGAAACUAACCUCAAGAUAAGGUUUCCCUAUGAGGACACAGAAAGACUAUCUGUUUGAUAGGCGCAAGGUGGAAGUACAGUAAUGUAUGGAGCUAAAGCGUACUAAUAGUCCCAUUGCCUUUUUAUG